CCUACGGGAGGCUGCAGUGAGGAAUAUUGGUCAAUGGCCGGAAGGCUGAACCAGCCAUGCCGCGUGAAGGUCAGUGCCCUAUGGGCGUUAAACUUCUUUUGUGCGGGAGCAAUAAUGGUCACGUGUGGCCAGACGAGAGUACCGUACGAAUAAGCAUCGGCUAACUCCGUGCAAGCAGCCGCGGUAAUACGGGGGAUGCAAGCGUUAUCCGGAUUUAUUGGGUUUAAAGGGUGCGUAGGCUGUGAGGUAAGUCAGCGGUGAAAUGCCCCGGCUCAACGGGGUGAAGUGCCAUUGAUACUGCCUUGCUGGAAUGCGGAUGACGUAGGAGGAAUGUGUGGUGUAGCGGUGAAAUGCAUAGAUAUCACACAGAACACCGAUUGCGAAGGCAUCUCACGAAUCCGCGAUUGACGCUGAUGCACGAAAGCGUGGGUAUCAAACAGGAUUAGAUACCCUUGUAGUC
Molecule: ribosomal RNA, 460 nt
Filed under: uncultured bacterium
Lineage: Bacteria
Description: partial 16S ribosomal RNA
Rfam family: Bacterial small subunit ribosomal RNA
Source: RNAcentral